UACAGAGGGUGCGAGCGUUAAUCGGAAUUACUGGGCGUAAAGCGUGCGUAGACGGUUAUUUAAGUCGGAUGUGAAAGCCCCGGGCUCAACCUGGGAAUUGCAUUCGAGACUGAAUAGCUAGGGUACGGUAGAGGGAAGCGGAAUUUCCGGUGUAGCGGUGAAAUGCGUAGAUAUCGGAAGAAACAUCAGUGGCGAAAGCGGCUUCCUGGACCAGUACCGACGUUCAGGCACGAAAGCGUGGGGAGCAAACAGG
This 253-nucleotide ribosomal RNA is filed under the name uncultured bacterium. RNAcentral describes it as "partial 16S ribosomal RNA". It matches the Rfam family "Bacterial small subunit ribosomal RNA", at positions 524 to 776 of the family's 1533-position model. The record is from RNAcentral.